GUAUAAGCAAUUAUACAGCGAAACUGCGAAUGGCUCAUUAUAUAAGUUAUCGUUUAUUUGAUAGUACCUUACUACUUGGAUAACCGUGGUAAUUCUAGAGCUAAUACAUGCUAAAAAUCCCGACUUCGGAAGGGAUGUAUUUAUUAGAUUAAAAACCAAUGCCCUCUGGGCUCCUUGGUGAUUCAUAAUAACUUUUCGAAUCGCAUGGCCUUGCGCCGGCGAUGGUUCAUUCAAAUUUCUUCCCUAUCAACUUUCGAUGUUUGGGUAUUGGCCAAACAUGGUCGCAACGGGUAACGGAGGGUUAGGGCUCGACCCCGGAGAAGGAGCCUGAGAAACGGCUACUACAUCCAAGGAAGGCAGCAGGCGCGCAAAUUACCCAAUCCCGAUUCGGGGAGGUAGUGACAAUAAAUACUGAUACAGGGCUCUUUUGGGUCUUGUAAUUGGAAUGAGUACAAUUUAAAUCUCUUAACGAGGAACAAUUGGAGGGCAAGUCUGGUGCCAGCAGCCGCGGUAAUUCCAGCUCCAAUAGCGUAUAUUAAAGUUGUUGUGGUUAAAAAGCUCGUAGUUGAACCUUGGGCCUGGCUGGCCGGUCCGCCUCACCGCGUGUACUGGUCCGGCCGGGCCUUUCCCUCUGUGGAACCCCAUGCCCUUCACUGGGUGUGGCGGGGAAACAGGACUUUUACUUUGAAAAAAUUAGAGUGCUCCAGGCAGGCCUAUGCUCGAAUACAUUAGCAUGGAAUAAUGAAAUAGGACGUGUGGUUCUAUUUUGUUGGUUUCUAGGACCGCCGUAAUGAUUAAUAGGGACAGUCGGGGGCAUCAGUAUUCAAUUGUCAGAGGUGAAAUUCUUGGAUUUAUUGAAGACUAACUACUGCGAAAGCAUUUGCCAAGGAUGUUUUCAUUAAUCAGGAACGAAAGUUAGGGGAUCGAAGACGAUCAGAUACCGUCGUAGUCUUAACCAUAAACUAUGCCGACUAGGGAUCGGACGAUGUUAUUUUUUGACGCGUUCGGCACCUUACGAGAAAUCAAAGUGCUUGGGCUCCAGGG
This 1044-nucleotide ribosomal RNA is filed under the name Lecanicillium sp. RNAcentral describes it as "SSU rRNA". It matches the Rfam family "Eukaryotic small subunit ribosomal RNA", at positions 63 to 1119 of the family's 1831-position model. Lineage: Eukaryota; Fungi; Ascomycota; Sordariomycetes; Hypocreales; Cordycipitaceae. The record is from RNAcentral.